GGCGAUAUGGCCAAGUGGUAAGGCUGAAGAUUGCAAAUCUUUAAUCCCCAGUUCGAUUCUGGGUAUCGCCU
Molecule: transfer RNA, 71 nt
Filed under: Poropsis sp. ID1_4
Lineage: Eukaryota; Viridiplantae; Chlorophyta; Ulvophyceae; Bryopsidales
Description: tRNA-Cys
Rfam family: tRNA
About the family: Transfer RNA (tRNA) molecules are approximately 80 nucleotides in length. Their secondary structure includes four short double-helical elements and three loops (D, anti-codon, and T loops).
Source: RNAcentral